This 240-nucleotide ribosomal RNA is filed under the name uncultured bacterium. RNAcentral describes it as "partial 16S ribosomal RNA". It matches the Rfam family "Bacterial small subunit ribosomal RNA", at positions 118 to 352 of the family's 1533-position model. The record is from RNAcentral.
UGAGGAACAUGACCUUCGGCGGGGGAUAGCCGGCCCAACGGCCGGGUAAUACCGCGUACGACCACAUGGGGACAUCCCUGAGUGGUGAAAGCAGCAAUGCGCCGAUGGAGUGCCUCGCGGCCUAUCAGCUAGUUGGUGAGGUAACGGCUCACCAAGGCGACGACGGGUAGCCGGCCUGAGGAGGGUGACCGGCCACACUGGGACUGAGACACGGCCCAGACCUCCUACGGGGAGGNAGCG